This 425-nucleotide long non-coding RNA is filed under the name Gallus gallus (chicken). RNAcentral describes it as "long non-coding RNA NONGGAT003741". The record is from RNAcentral. Lineage: Eukaryota; Metazoa; Chordata; Aves; Galliformes; Phasianidae.
CAACGAUCCUUGCAGGUGCAAUGUUUCAAGAAAACUGAGUGCAGCGCUAUCACCAACCAGAGCAGAGGAAGGAUGUACCAUCAUAAUCCCAGCACAGCCAGAGAACUGCACCCCUACUCUCAGUGAGAAAGCACCUGACGUCCUUUCUGGAGAUAUUUAGGAUGCUGAUCUAAAAUCAAAAGCAUCAGAGACCAGACUAAGAAGCACUGCACUCAUCAGAAAGACAGAUGUCUGACUGCUUGGUCAAAUUCCUUUGGAGCAUCUACUUUUAUUCAGGAAGAACACCACCUAAUUUUUCCAAGUAAAAAUGCUGGGUUUCGUUUUCAGUCUUACUUUAACGAUAUACCACGGAGAGAUCAUUAGAUGCAGAAGAGAUCUUUCGUGCUGCCAUCCCAAAAGCUUUUCACAAUCACAAAGCCUCUCAC